RNAcentral lists this ribosomal RNA (575 nucleotides) under uncultured bacterium. RNAcentral describes it as "bacterial SSU rRNA". It matches the Rfam family "Bacterial small subunit ribosomal RNA", at positions 382 to 966 of the family's 1533-position model. The record is from RNAcentral.
CCUGACGCAGCGACGCCGCGUGAGCGAAGAAGGCCUUCGGGUCGUAAAGCUCUGUCUAGGGGGAAGAGAAAGGACGGUACCUCUGGAGGAAGCCACGGCUAACUACGUGCCAGCAGCCGCGGUAAUACGUAGGUGGCGAGCGUUGUCCGGAAUUACUGGGCGUAAAGGGCGCGCAGGCGGCGCGUUAAGUCCGGGGUGAAAUCCAUCGGCUCAACCGGUGGGGGACCUUGGAUACUGGCGCACUGGAGUGCGGGAGAGGGAAGCGGAAUUCCACGUGUAACGGUGAAAUGUAUAGAUAUGUGGAGGAACACCGGUGGCGAAGGCGGCUUCCUGGACCGUAACUGACGCUGAGGCGCGAAAGCUGGGGGAGCGAACAGGAUUAGAUACCCUGGUAGUCCCAGCCGUAAACGAUGAACACUAGGUGUGGGGGGUAUCGACCCCUUCCGUGCCGCAGCCAACGCAAUAAGUGUUCCGCCUGGGGAGUACGGCCGCAAGGUUGAAACUCAAAGGAAUUGACGGGGGUUAUUGAUUCAGCCGUACCAGCUUGGCUAAUCUGGUCAUACUUUUUUUCUGAA